AGUGAACGCUGGCGGUAGGCCUAACACAUGCAAGUCGAACGGCAGCACAGUAAGAGCUUGCCCUUACGGGUGGCGAGUGGCGGGUGGGUGAGGAAUACAUCGGAAUCUACUUUUUCGUGGGGGAUAACGUAGGGAAACUUAUGCUAAUACCGCAUACGACCUACGGGUGAAAGCAGGGGAUCUUCGGACCUUGCGUGAUUGAAUGAGCCGAUGUUGGAUUAGCUAGUUGGCGGGGUAAAGGCCCACCAAGGCGACGAUCCGUAGCUGGUCUGAGAGGAUGAUCAGCCACACUGGAACUGAGACACGGUCCAGACUCCUACGGGAGGCAGCAGUGGGGAAUAUUGGACAAUGGGCGAAAGCCUGAUCCAGCCAUACCGCGUGGGUGAAGAAGGCCUUCGGGUUGUAAAGCCCUUUUAUUGGGAAAGAAAAGCAGCAGGUUAAUACCCCGCUGUUCUGACGGUACCCAAAGAAUAAGCAACGGCUAACUUCGUG
Molecule: ribosomal RNA, 492 nt
Filed under: uncultured bacterium
Lineage: Bacteria
Description: partial 16S ribosomal RNA
Rfam family: Bacterial small subunit ribosomal RNA
Source: RNAcentral